UACGUAGGGUGCAAGCGUUGUCCGGAAUUAUUGGGCGUAAAGAGCUCGUAGGCGGCUUGUCGCGUCGACUGUGAAAACCCGCGGCUCAACCGCGGGCCUGCAUUCGAUACGGGCAGGCUAGAGUUCGGUAGGGGAGACUGGAAUUCCUGGUGUAGCGGUGAAAUGCGCAGAUAUCAGGAAGAACACCCGUGGCUAAGGCGGCUCUCUAGUACGGUACUGACGCUGAGACGCGAAAGCGUGGGGAGCGAACAGG
Molecule: ribosomal RNA, 253 nt
Filed under: uncultured bacterium
Lineage: Bacteria
Description: partial 16S ribosomal RNA
Rfam family: Bacterial small subunit ribosomal RNA
Source: RNAcentral